CCCCUAGAUGUUCUGGGCCGCACGCGCGCUACACUGAACAGUUCAACAAGUCUUAACCUUGGCCGAUAGGUCUGGGUAAUCUUUGAACGCUGUUCGUGAUUGGGAUAGACCUUUGCAAUUAUGGGUCUUCAACGAGGAAUUCCUAGUAAACGCAAGUCAUCAGCUUGCAUUGAUUACGUCCCUGCCCUUUGUACACACCGCCCGUCGCACCUACCGACUGAAUGGUCCGGUGAAAUCUCGGGACGGCGGCUUGGUCGCUUGCGUCCGACUGCUGAAACUUGAUUAAACCAUAUCAUUUAGAGGAAGGUGAAGUCGUAACA
Molecule: ribosomal RNA, 320 nt
Filed under: uncultured eukaryote
Lineage: Eukaryota
Description: partial 18S ribosomal RNA
Rfam family: Eukaryotic small subunit ribosomal RNA
Source: RNAcentral